Neltuma alba is the source of this 1958-nucleotide RNA transcript. RefSeq lists it as uncharacterized. The transcript is spliced from 6 exons. The record is from RefSeq and is a predicted model, not a curated record. Lineage: Eukaryota; Viridiplantae; Streptophyta; Magnoliopsida; Fabales; Fabaceae.
UAAAGAUUGCAAUGGGAUUGGGUAGGUGACAAAAGCCCAUUCGGCAGCAACCAUUCUCAUUGACUAUUAGAUUUGGAGGGAACAAAGAUGGCUCCAUCGAAUUCACGAACACUAGUCAUCUUCCUCGGUGAACGCAGCUGAUCCGGGUGCUUCUGGAGCACAACCAGGCCAAGGUCGUGGUUGUUGGAUCUGUCUCCCUGUUACCUGACCCCUAUUCUGAUUUUCCAUCCGGGUGGUUCUGCGUUUGAAAGAUAUGAAUUGGGUUCAGCGCAAGAUCUACCUCUACAAUGUAACUUUUGGGCUUUAUAUGCUAGACUGGUGGGAGCGUUGUCUUUUCAAUAUCUUGGUGAUUGUACUUCUGUGGUUUGUACUCUACAACUGGUCACGACAUGUUAAUGAAUUCCUCAAGAGUAUUUACUUUAAUGAAUUCAAACGAGUGCAUGGCGCAUGAUAUUUCUCAGUUCUCAACCUAUCUGUGCGUCGUAACAUUCCUACAUAUAGGAAGAAUGUUCUGCAAUCACCCUUCCUCUGUAUGAGUCCCUUGACUGAACUAUUAGUGAAAUCAGCAAAUGUUAUAAUUCUAUGUUUAACAUCUAUAUCAACUUUAAAAACCAGACCUUCAGGCAAAACUUUGAACAGAUGAGUAUUUGCAUGAAAUAUUUUUCUGUCUCUAAUUGUUAUAGACUAGAGACUUCAGAAAUUCAAGCCAAAAUGGAGUAUGAGAACAUUCGAUUAUGAAGGAAUAUUAUAACUGGGCAUCGAGCUUCCAUUCCCAAUUAUGUAUGCAUAUAGGGAAAAUUAGAAGAGGGAUAACAGGUUAUACUAUUGAGAAGGCAAGUUUAUGUUGCAUUACAGUAUCGCAAAUUUAUAAAAAUAUACAUCCUUUCAUGUGGUUUUAGAACAUUUUUGUUCACUGUUGUAUUGUUUCAUGUAUUGCGGCUGCAUACUUGCUUUGUUAUUUUAAUGCCUUUAUGCUCUUCCACUUUUCUUUUUUAUAAUCCCUGCCAUUAUUGGAACAACCAUGACUAUAACUGAUUGACUUACUAGGGAUAUUUUCUUAGAGUUCAGGCCUACUUUAGUGUAGGGAGAUGUCAACUGGAUUUGCGUGUGGGUGUGAGAGAGUGAGAGAGAGAGAGCAAAAGGCUUUAAAAAAAGAGUUCUCUGUAAGUGGAUUUUUGCUGAGCCUAAGAUUGGAUAUAUAUAAAACUUCCACAUGAGAAGGCACUGAUGGAUCAGUUCAAAAUCCUAAUAAGAUUAUAAACUAAACGCGAGAUAAUCAUACUUACAACUACCAGGUAAAAUCCUAGUUUUUCUGACAGGAAUUUUAGAUAGCUAGUUGUGCACCUAUCACAGCUACAGGAGAAUAUAAUACUGUUUUUAGUUUUGAAUUUACAUUAAUGGUGCGGAGGGUGCAAAAAUAAUUGCUGCUUCACUUGGGGGUUAAUCUAUAUAUAGAACUCCAGCUUUCAGCUGUCAGAUUGUUUCACGGGAUUCAUGAAGGUCUGUAUGGUGAGAAUGAGAGAAUCAUUCUCUUUAGGAAGGUGCCGAUGUGGAUUUUGAUGCUGAUUGCCGAGAUGUUUAAGUAUAUUGCAGCUGCACCGUAUAUCUAGAUAUUCUUGGUAUUCAUAGUUUUACUUAUCUAGGUAAGCUAAUCCAAUAAGUAGCGGCCAUGUGAAUCUGCGAUAAGGACUCAGACUCACUUUUGAGUUUUGACAUGUGGGAAGUGCAGCUUCUCUUAAUUGCCGUGAAGAGUUUUGUUUUUCAGCCAAAAAACUGCCAUGAAGAGUUUGGCUGGGAAAGAUUUGUUAAUAAUUUAGUUGUUCGUUUUCUUUUACUAGCGACUAAAACAUUUGGUUGUAGAAAAAGAUUUAAGUAAAUGUGCUUUACAAUUUAUUUGUAGAUUAACUCAUAACAUGUCAAGUAUAAGCAUUUCCUUAAAAUUAGAUUUAUUUAUUUUC